GCUCAACUAGCUCAGUCAUUGAUCGUGAUACUCUUCAUCUCAUAGUCGUGGGUUCGAGCCCCACGUUGGGCG
Dryococelus australis is the source of this 72-nucleotide non-coding RNA. The record is from the annotation of a GenBank genome assembly. Lineage: Eukaryota; Metazoa; Arthropoda; Insecta; Phasmatodea; Phasmatidae.